Manis pentadactyla (Chinese pangolin) is the source of this 1415-nucleotide long non-coding RNA. RefSeq lists it as uncharacterized. Lineage: Eukaryota; Metazoa; Chordata; Mammalia; Pholidota; Manidae. The record is from RefSeq and is a predicted model, not a curated record. The transcript is spliced from 4 exons.
AUGAUUCUUUGUGUGGGCAUGUGCUUGCUCUUCUCUUAGGUAAAUUCAUUGAAAUGGAAUGGCUGGAUUAAAUGGUAGGUAUAUGUUUAACUUAAAAAAAAACUGACACAGUGGUUGCACCAUAUUACAUUUCCACUGGCAGGCUUCAGUGGGUUUUAAGAAUAAGAUCCGAGGCAAUUGUUAGGCAUUGGAAAAAGGGCCUUUCCUGGUGUAAUGAAGGCUCUUGAGAUGAGAUCCUCCUAGAUUUAGAGUGGCCCUUAACCCAAUGACUGAUGUGCUUGUAAGAGAAAGGCAGAGGGAGACAGCGAUAGACAGAGGAGAAAACAGGCAGAGACUGGAGGCAAACUGCCAAUCAAGGAAUGUCUGAAGCUCGCAUAAGCUGGAAGAGACCCUGAAGGAUUCUCCCCAGAGCCUUCCGCGGGAACGGGGUCCUGCCGGCACCUUGAUUUUACACCGCUGGCCUCUGAAACUGACACUCUGCUCAAGGAGCCCAGUGUCUGACAGCAAGGACUCAAACAGAGCUCCAAGCGGCCCAAACUCCAAGCGUUCUGUGCCAUGGCCCUGGGGAAGCAACCACACCAUAUACCUCCAAACUCAUUUCCUGCAAGAGGAUCCCGGUAAACAAGGUGCUCUGUUCCAUCCAUUGGUGGUAACACUCAUACUGAUCCUUUCUAGCUACAACUCGUGAUUGCAUUUGGUAGCAGAAGCACUGCUCUGGGUCAGAACGGCAGGAUGCUUUGGUGCUAGCAGAAGAAAACUGAGAUGGAUUCUUAAUAUGGUCCCUAAAUCAGAUGACCUGUGUCCUUGUAACAACAGAAGGUCAGAGGGAGGUGUGAGACAGUCCUAAGAGAAGACACCAAGAGGAGACAGCGAUGUGAAGACAGAGGCAGUGGUGGGGUUGAUGCAGCUACAAGCCAAGGAGUGCCAUGGAUUGUCAGCAGCCCCGUGAAAGUAGGAGAAAGCAUGGAAUGGAAUCUCAGAAGGAAGUGUGGCCCUGCUAACACCAUGAUUUCAGACUUCUGCCUCCAUAACUGUGAGAUAAUAAAUCUGUUGUUUUAAAUAAUCCAUUUUGGAGCAAUUUGUUACAGUAAUCCUAUUAAAACUAAUAGGAUUCUGAAAUGCUAUGUUCUCACGAAUGUUCAAUGUGAAAGAUAAUGGACACCCAAACCUCAGUCCAAAUCUUGGAGGAAGUCUGCAUGGGAGCCCUACCCAGCUUCUCUGGGCUUGAUACUCUCUCAGAGUACUUCCCCAGGGGUCCGCAGGCUCCUGACUCCUCCAGCAGAACUUCAACGCUUUCACGGUCCUGUAUAACCUUCCCCAGGUACUUGCUCAACAGAGCCCCAUAGCCCAGCUCUUAAGGAUGUUUAGCACUUUCUCGCCUAUCCAUGUUCAAGGGUUCUAGGGCUCAGGAAAAU